ACCGAUAGCGAACAAGUACAGUGAUGGAAAGAUGAAAAGCACUUUGAAAAGAGAGUGAAAAAGUACGUGAAAUUGUUGAAAGGGAAGGGCUUGCAAGCAGACACAACCUCGUGUUGGGCCNGCAUCGGGGCGAGAGGAAGNNAAAACGAUUUGGAAAUGUAACUUUCGAGUAUUAUAGACCUUAUCCCUCCCUUCNNUCUCAUCCNNNGGCUNCGGUAUAUCCUAGGAUGCUGGNNUAAUGG
Molecule: ribosomal RNA, 242 nt
Filed under: Metschnikowia australis
Lineage: Eukaryota; Fungi; Ascomycota; Pichiomycetes; Serinales; Metschnikowiaceae
Description: partial 25S ribosomal RNA
Rfam family: Eukaryotic large subunit ribosomal RNA
Source: RNAcentral